CAGCCACCUUCUGUAGGUGCUGCUGCUGUUGAAGAGGAACCUCUUCAACAGCGGUUCUCUCCUAUGACCAGGAACUUGGUGCGGUGGCCAUUAUCCAACGUACUGGUGUCGUAAUACCUAAGAACGUUGUUGUUGCAUGCAUCCUUUCCUGAUGCCUUACAUUGUCAUCCUCUAUUCCUCUUCAUCUUGUUAUGUAAUAAUAGU
RNAcentral lists this long non-coding RNA (204 nucleotides) under Setaria viridis. RNAcentral's name for it is "long non-coding RNA (SVIR_LNC001498)". Lineage: Eukaryota; Viridiplantae; Streptophyta; Magnoliopsida; Poales; Poaceae. The record is from RNAcentral.